Molecule: ribosomal RNA, 533 nt
Filed under: Bacillus sp. (in: firmicutes)
Lineage: Bacteria; Bacillati; Bacillota; Bacilli; Caryophanales; Bacillaceae
Description: bacterial SSU rRNA
Rfam family: Bacterial small subunit ribosomal RNA
Source: RNAcentral
CUGAUGUUAGCGGCGGACGGGUGAGUAACACGUGGGUAACCUGCCUGUAAGACUGGGAUAACUCCGGGAAACCGGGGCUAAUACCGGAUGGUUGUUUGAACCGCAUGGUUCAAACAUAAAAGGUGGCUUCGGCUACCACUUACAGAUGGACCCGCGGCGCAUUAACUAGUUGGUGAGGUAACGGCUCACCAAGGCAACGAUGCGUAGCCGACCUGAGAGGGUGAUCGGCCACACUGGGACUGAGACACGGCCCAGACUCCUACGGGAGGCAGCAGUAGGGAAUCUUCCGCAAUGGACGAAAGUCUGACGGAGCAACGCCGCGUGAGUGAUGAAGGUUUUCGGAUCGUAAAGCUCUGUUGUUAGGGAAGAACAAGUACCGUUCGAAUAGGGCGGUACCUUGACGGUACCUAACCAGAAAGCCACGGCUAACUACGUGCCAGCAGCCGCGGUAAUACGUAGGUGGCAAGCGUUGUCCGGAAUUAUUGGGCGUAAAGGGCUCGCAGGCGGUUUCUUAAGUCUGAUGUGAAAGCCCC